RNAcentral lists this ribosomal RNA (569 nucleotides) under uncultured bacterium. RNAcentral's name for it is "bacterial SSU rRNA". It matches the Rfam family "Bacterial small subunit ribosomal RNA", at positions 25 to 579 of the family's 1533-position model. The record is from RNAcentral.
CACACUGGCCGCUCGUUUUACAGCCUAACACAUGCAAGUCGAACGGUAACAGGAAGCAGCUUGCUGCUUCGCUGACGAGUGGCGGACGGGUGAGUAAUGUCUGGGAAACUGCCUGAUGGAGGGGGAUAACUACUGGAAACGGUAGCUAAUACCGCAUAACGUCGCAAGACCAAAGAGGGGGACCUUCGGGCCUCUUGCCAUCGGAUGUGCCCAGAUGGGAUUAGCUAGUAGGUGGGGUAACGGCUCACCUAGGCGACGUGUCCCUAGCUGGUCUGAGAGGAUGACCAGCCACACUGGAACUGAGACACGGUCCAGACUCCUACGGGAGGCAGCAGUGGGGAAUAUUGCACAAUGGGCGCAAGCCUGAUGCAGCCAUGCCGCGUGUAUGAAGAAGGCCUUCGGGUUGUAAAGUACUUUCAGCGGGGAGGAAGGUGUUGAGGUUAAUAACCUCAGCAAUUGACGUUACCCGCAGAAGAAGCACCGGCUAACUCCGUGCCAGCAGCCGCGGUAAUACGGAGGGUGCAAGCGUUAAUCGGAAUUAACUGGGCGUAAAAGCGCACGCAGGCGGG